Long non-coding RNA from Alexandromys fortis (reed vole), 2750 nucleotides. RefSeq lists it as uncharacterized. The transcript has 3 exons. Lineage: Eukaryota; Metazoa; Chordata; Mammalia; Rodentia; Cricetidae. The record is from RefSeq and is a predicted model, not a curated record.
GGCCAAUGCAGGCCAGGCAGACUCAGAGCAAAGAGGAGGGGAAAAUUGUAGCUUUAGGCAGGACCUCUCAUCAGGAAUGUACUGAACACUGGUGGUCGAUGGCAUGAUGGAAAAUGAGAAAAGGACAAAUGCUCAAGAUUGCUGGGAGAUUCAUUUGACCACAGCUGAAGACCUCAUUCCAGAAUGAAUCUGACAAUCAACAGACAUGACCAGCAGCAUGGGAAUGGAUGGGCCCAUCAGCCCCAAUCGAUAGAUUAGUCCCUCAUGCAACUCUUGGACUGAGUGACCGCACCAGCCUAAGGUUACCGAGCGUCGCCCACCAUAUUCUUCCUUGGUUCCACUGUGCUGUGUGUGGCCCAUGUGCUAAUAUCCCUGAAUAUCAGAAUCCUGGAAUUUACUGGAAAUAUGCAGUAACAUUAACCUUUUGGCCAUUUUGAGGACCAAGACGCUGUGGCUUUCAGAAGCACAUACACACACUUGCGUAUGUGUGUAUGUGAAAUGUUGUGUGUGUGCGACAUGGGAUUGAUUGUGUGCACGUGAGAAGACCAGUGAAAGUUUGAUGUCCUAUUUUAACUCCAUCUUAUGCCUUUGGAAAGGUUUCUCACUGAACCUGGAACGAGGCUGGCAGAUGAGGAAGCUCCAGCCACACUUCCGUCUCCAUACAUCCUGGUACAAUGACUGCAGGCAUAUACAUCCUCUCCUGGCAUUUCCCAUGGGUGUGGGGGAUUUGCACUCAGCUCCUUGAACUUGCUCAGCCAGUGCUUCUACUCACUGAGCCAUCUUCAACCUGGGAAACUUCCCACCUUUCUGCAAGUCCAGCAAUCUAUUGAUUUUCUUCCAUGGUAAUUUCAUGGUAUUAUUUUAAAAACUGAUAUGUAGCCUACUGCAAAUGGUAGAAUCUGUCCUCUCUGAAAAAAUGCCAGUGAUUUUGGUGGACAAGAAUUUCAUAUCAAGGUUUCAUUUCAAAUGAGGUCUCCCUACCCAGUACUCUAUAUUAGCAUUUUUCUAAGUUUAUGAUUGUUAAUUUGUUUUUCUUUAGUGGGAAAUUUACAAUUGCUGAGACCUAGUCAUGGGAAAAUACAUGACACCUAGAACAUUUAUAUGCUGAAAUAUAAUUAAAAUAGAGGUAACAAAAAUAAAAAUAUUGGUUGUCAAUGGUUUCCAUGGAAAUGAUUACAUAUGCUUUAUGGCCAUACCAUCACUUCAUAGGACAGACGUUUUUAUUGUUAGAAAAGGAAUUUCCUUCCAUGAGCAUAUGUAAUACCAAACACUGAAGCCCAGAAUAAGCAAGGAGUGUCACUGACACCGUGCACCCUAUGCAGUGCGUGUCCCGGCAAGGGAAAGUUGAGGCUGCCCUGUCCAGCCCAAUAGACACUAGCCACCAAGCAAGGCAUGAGUAGACAAAAGCAAGGCAUGCUCCAAAUGACUCAUACUAUCUUUACAUAAUGAAAAAAUGUAAAACAUCCCAUUAAUAAUUUUAUAUAGCAAACACUGAAAUAUUGCUUUGGACCUGGAACAUUAACCAAAAUGUUCUUAAAAUGAUUUUCUCUCUUUGUACUUUCUACAACACGACUAUAAGAAGAUUUAAGACGGCACAUGCAGUCUGGGUUGUGUGUAUUUACACAAUACUGCUACAGAAAAAAAGAAUUCCAGAAACCUAUCUGAGCCUAUGAUAAAUGGUACCAGAGAGAGCAAUUUCUUAAAAUAUAUUUAUUAAAUGUUUCAGAAACUCCACUUAUACCCUUAAUAAGUUAUCAUUUUACAGAAACUAUACAUACUAAAAGCCAGUCUGCUGCUCGCUAAAGCUGUAAUAACUGGUUUGAUUGCUUCAACGCUGGGGAACCUAAUGACUAAACUCAAUGACUGCUGGCUAUACGACACAGCAAUCUUUUUAAUCAUGUCUCAAUUAGCUUUAGAAGUUUCUCAUUUCAGGGCUCCCAGGGGUCUCAUUGCUUGUCUUUUUCACUUGAGAUAAACAAAAUCAUCUGUCUCAUAUUCAUUUCCAAUAUUUGUUUUCUGUUGUUUUUGUUGUUGUGGUCUUAAUAAGCUGCCUUGCUGACAGAGGCAGAAGCUGGGGACAGCCUGCUGCCGGAUGUCUCAUUCUCAUAGAGCAGAAGAGAAACACCCCGAGUGCGGGAAAAGUGGGCUAGCCUUCCACUCAUCGAAACGUACAGGGAAAGAAGGACAGCAAUCACAGGGACUGGAGGAUGAGGGCGACGCAAUCAGUGACUCUUUCCGAUCUCUCGUAUGAAACUUGAUAUGCGAUCUAUUUACAAUAAGGACACCUCAAAAACAUUUAUAAUCAGCUGUCAGCAAUUAAUCACCUAUCUGAGGGAGGGGUUGGGACACAAAGAUGAAGACAAUAGAAUCUUUACUUACAUGGAGACCAUGCUCUAUGUUAAUGUCAUGAUGAAGUAUAUGUAAAAUCCUGUUUUCUGUCAAAUGUUGGUUUCUAGAAUAAACCUUUCAUUAAGAAAGAGAUGUAGAUCUAGGGCAUCAGAAUGCACAAAUGUGGCUAUUUUGCCACUUUAUGUCACUAUUACUUUUAUGUGAACAUUUGUAGUUUAUUCUAGAUUCAUAUUCUUAUCUAUAUCUAUAGUUGAUACCUAUUGCAUAUACUUCAGUAAGAACUAUACACAUGACAAAGCAUUUUUUGGCAUUUAUUUUCCUUAGCAUGCAAAAUAAUAUUGAUAUAAUUAUUAUUCCUUAGACUGUAUAUGAUAUUUGAAGUUCUAUGUAUAAAGCACACA